Molecule: ribosomal RNA, 137 nt
Filed under: Castor canadensis (American beaver)
Lineage: Eukaryota; Metazoa; Chordata; Mammalia; Rodentia; Castoridae
Source: RNAcentral
CUCUAUGGCCAUACCACCCUGAACAUGUGCAAUCUCACCUGAUCUCAGAAGCUAAGCAGGGUCGGGCCUGGUUAGUACGUGGAUGGGAGAAAAAAAUUAUAUAACAAUAGCCUUGGUGAACAUAGGUGCUAAAAUCC